GACGAACGCUGGCGGCGUGCUUAACACAUGCAAGUCGUACGGUAAGGCCCUUUCGGGGGUACACGAGUGGCGAACGGGUGCGUAACACGUGAGUAACCUGCCCACAACUUUGGGAUAACGCUAGGAAACUGGUGCUAAUACUGGAUAUGUGCCCCUGCUGCAUGGUGGGGGUUGGAAAGCUCCGGCGGUUGUGGAUGGACUCGCGGCCUAUCAGCUUGUUGGUGGGGUAGUGGCCUACCAAGGCGGCGACGGGUAGCCGGCCUGGGAGGGUGAUAGGCCACAUUGGGUCUGAGGAACGGCACAGACGCCUACGGUGGGCAGCAGUGGGGAAGAGUUCGCAAGUGCGGCAAGGCUGGUGCAGAUGGUCCGCGGGCGGGAUGACGAUCUUCGGGUUGUAAACCGCCUUCAGCAGGGACGAAGGUUGUUAUGACGGUACCUGCAGAAGAAGCACCGGCUAACUACGUG
Molecule: ribosomal RNA, 465 nt
Filed under: uncultured bacterium
Lineage: Bacteria
Description: partial 16S ribosomal RNA
Rfam family: Bacterial small subunit ribosomal RNA
Source: RNAcentral